UACGUAGGAUGCAAGCGUUGUCCGGAAUUAUUGGGCGUAAAGAGUUCGUAGGCGGUUGCCUAAGUCUGUUGUUAAAGGCCUGAGCUCAACUCGGGUAUGGCAAUGGAUACUGGGCAGCUAGAGUGUGGUAGAGGUCACGGGAAUUCCAGGUGUAGCGGUGAAAUGCGUUGAUAUCAGGAGGAACACCCAUGGCGAAGGCAGCAAACUGGGCAUCAACUGACGCUGAGGCGCGAAAGCGUGGGUAGCAAACAGG
Molecule: ribosomal RNA, 253 nt
Filed under: uncultured bacterium
Lineage: Bacteria
Description: partial 16S ribosomal RNA
Rfam family: Bacterial small subunit ribosomal RNA
Source: RNAcentral